This 253-nucleotide ribosomal RNA is filed under the name uncultured bacterium. RNAcentral describes it as "partial 16S ribosomal RNA". It matches the Rfam family "Bacterial small subunit ribosomal RNA", at positions 524 to 776 of the family's 1533-position model. The record is from RNAcentral.
UACGAAGGGUGCAAGCGUUGUUCGGAAUUAUUGGGCGUAAAGGGUUCGUAGGUGGAAUCGUAAGUCAAGUGUGAAAUCUCCGAGCUUAACUUGGAACGUGCAUUUGAAACUGUGAUUCUUGAGUAUUGGAGAGGAUAGUGGAAUUGCUGGUGUAGGAGUGACAUCCGUAGAGAUCAGCAGGAACACCAGAGGCGAAAGCGACUAUCUGGCCGAUUACUGACACUGAGGAACGAAAGCGUGGGGAGCAAACAGG